CCUACGGGCGGCAGCAGUGGGGAAUAUUGGACAAUGGGCGAAAGCCUGAUCCAGCCAUGCCGCGUGUGUGAAGAAGGCCUUCGGGUUGUAAAGCACUUUCAGUGGGGAAGAAAGCCUUGGGGCUAAUACCCUCGAGGAAGGACAUCACCCACAGAAGAAGCACCGGCUAACUCCGUGCCAGCAGCCGCGGUAAUACGGAGGGUGCGAGCGUUAAUCGGAAUUACUGGGCGUAAAGCGCGCGUAGGCGGUCUGAUAAGCCGGUUGUGAAAGCCCCGGGCUCAACCUGGGAACGGCAUCCGGAACUGUCAGGCUAGAGUGCAGGAGAGGAAGGUAGAAUUCCCGGUGUAGCGGUGAAAUGCGUAGAGAUCGGGAGGAAUACCAGUGGCGAAGGCGGCCUUCUGGACUGACACUGACGCUGAGGUGCGAAAGCGUGGGUAGCAAACAGGACUAGAUACCCUAGUAGUC
RNAcentral lists this ribosomal RNA (465 nucleotides) under Vreelandella stevensii. RNAcentral's name for it is "partial 16S ribosomal RNA". It matches the Rfam family "Bacterial small subunit ribosomal RNA", at positions 338 to 795 of the family's 1533-position model. The record is from RNAcentral. Lineage: Bacteria; Pseudomonadati; Pseudomonadota; Gammaproteobacteria; Oceanospirillales; Halomonadaceae.